AUACGGAGGGUGCAAGCGUUACUCGGAAUUACUGGGCGUAAAGGACGCGUAGGCGGUUUAGAAAGUCAGAUGUGAAAGCCUAUGGCUUAACCAUAGAACUGCAUUUGAAACUUCCAAACUAGAGUGGGGGAGAGGUCAGUGGAAUUAGUGGUGUAGGGGUAAAAUCCGUAGAGACCACUAGGAAUACUCAUUGCGAAGGCGACUGACUGGAACUUAACUGACGCUGAGGCGUGAAAGCGUGGGGAGCAAACAGGAUUAGAAACCCUAGUAGUCC
This 274-nucleotide ribosomal RNA is filed under the name uncultured bacterium. Its description in RNAcentral is "partial 16S ribosomal RNA". It matches the Rfam family "Bacterial small subunit ribosomal RNA", at positions 523 to 796 of the family's 1533-position model. The record is from RNAcentral.